GACGAACGCUGGCGGCGUGCUUAACACAUGCAAGUCGAACGGAAAGGCCCUGCUUUUGUGGGGUGCUCGAGUGGCGAACGGGUGAGUAACACGUGAGUAACCUGCCCUUGACUUUGGGAUAACUUCAGGAAACUGGGGCUAAUACCGGAUAGGAGCUCCUGCUGCAUGGUGGGGGUUGGAAAGUUUCGGCGGUUGGGGAUGGACUCGCGGCUUAUCAGCUUGUUGGUGGGGUAGUGGCUUACCAAGGCUUUGACGGGUAGCCGGCCUGAGAGGGUGACCGGCCACAUUGGGACUGAGAUACGGCCCAGACUCCUACGGGAGGCAGCAGUGGGGAAUAUUGCACAAUGGGCGGAAGCCUGAUGCAGCAACGCCGCGUGGGGAUGACGGCCUUCGGGUUGUAAACCGCUUUCGCCUGUGACGAAGCGUGAGUGACGGUAAUGGGUAAAGAAGCACCGGCUAACUACGUG
RNAcentral lists this ribosomal RNA (467 nucleotides) under uncultured bacterium. RNAcentral's name for it is "partial 16S ribosomal RNA". It matches the Rfam family "Bacterial small subunit ribosomal RNA", at positions 28 to 507 of the family's 1533-position model. The record is from RNAcentral.